GUUCUCCAACCCAGUCCUCAUGGACCACCAACAAUCCAGUUUUUUUUCCAGUAUCUCCAUUGGAAUAAAACAGGGAAAUGCAUAAAUUUUGGACUGUUGGUGGUCCAUGAGGACUGGGUUGGGGAU
RNAcentral lists this microRNA precursor (126 nucleotides) under Pelobates cultripes (western spadefoot toad). The record is from RNAcentral. Lineage: Eukaryota; Metazoa; Chordata; Amphibia; Anura; Pelobatidae.